GGUUUCUCUAAACUAGUUUGUUAUCUUUUCACGAUUUCCGCAUAUAUUUGGUCACUUGUCGUUGGCUCUCGCAGAGAUCCGGGACCUCUGGGAAAUUAUUGUUUUCUUAGUUUCCUAAUUUAAACGUAAAUUGACAGUGCGAAUUUCAGUUCCCACAUAACAUUGAUCGACAGUCAUUACGUGUUCACAAGCGAGAGCUGCAACACUGGACUUAGAUAAUUUAUCAGACUCGCAGAGACAGCUGGAUAGUACAAAACAUGAACCAAUUCCUUCAAACCCGAGACCUUAAGUUUACCCUACUCUGCUAUACACACUAGGCCACGUUGAUUUUCUUAGUAUCAUUCACAUAAGCUACAUAUUAUACAUGUAUGUGUUUUAAAAAUUAAAAAUAGAUCCAAAAUAAAUCCAUCAAUAAUCUAUGAUUAAUCCAUGAUUCUUUCAUUAGGCGUUAGGCCCUGUCCGAAUGUACGUAUAGCGCCUAGCAAGUUUCCGAACAAUGAUUGUACGGUAUACUUAUUAUUAUUUUGUUUUCAUAUUCCUAAUGAAUAAUUUAAAUAAAAUAUUGUUUUAAUAAAAAUAUUUAUUUUCUUUUGGAAUAUUGUAAGGGAUUAUGUAUCUUAUGAAGGCACACAAUGGUCAAUCUUUUUCCAGUGUCAUUUAGAUUAUGGUUUUUUUUUUUAAAUUCAAACCAUGCAGUUGUAGUGGUGGUUUAGCUUAGGUUUGGUUAUGUAAAUUCUUUUUUUUUUUUGGUAAAAUGUUAAAAUAUUCUAGCUAAGUUUUUGUUGAUGGUUUUUUCACUAAAUAAGAUUAUUAGUUUAAAAUAAUUGAUUAAUGCUGCCAGAUACGUUACUUUUAUAAAAAAGGUUAUUAUUUUAUUUAACUUAUUACUUUGAAAUAGGAAAAACUAAAAUAAGUAAACCAUACAAUGAAUGCAUAACCAAUUUAGCAGUAUAUCCAUAAAAUUCAAUGAAUAUCUCAGUAAUAAAGGACAAAUUGAGAAAAUAGACCACAAAAUAUAAUUUAUUUAAGAUAUUAUGAAAUAUUCUUAAGACCUUUAAUUACAUUUGUUAAUAUAUAGAUGACUUACACUAUUUUAAAGAUUUAUAUUAAUUAAUUUAUUUAUUUUUCUUAAAAGAAUAAUCUUUUAUGAUUUAUAUUUUAGAUACUAGAGUAAUAAGGUUGCUCUUACAUAAUUUUAUAUAUAUAAUCUCAACUGUACAUCCUUAGGAAAUACAACCAUCAAUUAGCAAACAAACACACCGUUAAGUAGAAGAGUAUUAGGAUAAUGUCAUCAUCACAUCUUGCUAUCAUGUGCCUCAUCAUGAUAUCUCUUGUUCCUCUAAAUCAAUUGGGAAACGCCGAUGGUUUAGACUUCGACAGAAAAUGUGUCCGUCUCCUUGGAUGUACCGGAAGACGUUGUAUUUGCUGUAACAACGCACCAUAAAUAUUAAAAUGUUAUGAUACUCAAGCAGCAUGUAUGGCACAUUGCACGAACCCAACUAUUUGAGUGGCUUACGAAACUUAAAAAAAAUUAAAAUAUAAUCAUGUGGAAUAUCUCAAUAAAUAUAAUAUAUAUUAUAAAAUAAAGAUGUUAAUAAACUUUUACUUUAGGUAUCAAAAUAUAUUUAUAUAUAUCUAGCAUCUAAUUUAUAAUAUAUGUAUGAUUAAGAAUAAUACAAAUUUGUGUAGCAGAAAAAAUAGAAUAAUUUUAUCGUUGUGUUCAAUACUGUUGACAUGAUUCGACAUUCACAUUUUCUCUUUUUAUCUUUGUAGUUUGUAUUCUUGAUCAGCUCUCUUUUUUUCUCUACUUGUAGUUUGUAUUUGAUAUGUUCUAUUUUUAUAGAUAAUUUAUCUUUCUUUCUUUUGCUAUAUCAAAGAGAAAAUAUCAUACCAUAACAGAUCAGUGGGAUAAUCAUGGUUUUAAGCUUCUCAAUCAGAAAAACAAAAUUAGCUUUUUAUUUCUCUUUAAAGCUUUUCCUACUACAUACUACCAUAUUCCUCUUUGCUUUUCCUCAUACUUCCACACAUACACGUAGAAUAUCGAAUGACACAAACCUCUUGUCGUCGAUUGAUAAAGACGCGAUAAGAUGGGCCGACUUGUUCAUGGCCGACUUAAGCCCAGAAGAUCCACAUAAUUACAAGACUACCCUUGGCCGCCUCUCACCUAGUUUUUAUGUACUUUGCCGUUGUAUUAGGAAACAUAACUUCUUUUAUCAUCUUUUAUUCACAACAUAUAGUUAUAGGAUUUUCUGUAGAUUUAGAUAUAAGAUCCAAUACUCCUUCAGAGCUUGUAUUAGAACUCCAUUGAUUUCUUACUCUAUUCUAUUUAUGAAUUCUAUUCAGACUAUUGCUAUGUUUUGCUUUAUCAUGUCGGAGUAGUUUCCCUUGUUAGAUUUAGGGUAAAAUAGUGCUUUGAUGGAUUAGCCAAAAUUAUUGAAUUGUUAGGGUGAUUACAUAGAUACCAAUCAUUAGAAUUGGUAUUAAUGCUUAUGUUAUGGAGUAGCUAAUUAGAACCACAUGAAUUUAUUCUCUUGAUUUAGGUUGCUAGAUACAUGUGAAAGCUCGUCUAGGAACGUUAGUGAACUUAUCAAAUCGGACUAUAAAACCAAUCUAAAGUAUUGUCGAUAGACACUAGAAAGGUAGCAUUGAUUGACAGUCAUUACGUGUGCACAAGCAAGAGCUGCAACACUGGACUAAGAUAAUUUAUCCGACUCGCAGCGACAGAUGGAUAUAUUUACAGUAGAGCUCAAGUUCUAGUCCCAGUUUCGUCAUACUGCACUUAUUAAACCUAAAAUUAAAAAAAUAGUACAAAACAUGCACCAAUUCCUUCAAAACCGAGACCUUAAUUUUACCUACUCGGCUAUACACACUCGGCCAUGCUGAUUUUCUUAAUAUCAUUCACAUAAGCUACAUAUUAUACAUGUAUGUGUUUUAAAAAUUAAAAAUUGAUCCAAAAUAAAUCCAUCAGUAAUCUAUGAUUAAUCCCUGAUUCUUUCAUUAGGCGCUAGACCCUGCCCGAAUGUACGUAUAGCGCCUAGCGAGUUUCCGAAAAAUAAUUGUACGGUAUACUUAUUAUUAUUUUGUUUUCAUAUUCCUAAUGAAUAAUUUAAAUAAAAUAUUCGUUUAAUAAAAAUAUUUAUUUUCUUUUGGAAUAUUGUAAGGGAUUAUGUAUCUCAUGAAGGCACACAAUGGUCAAUCUUUUUCCAGUGUCAUUUAGAUUAUGUUUUUUUUUUUUAAAUUCAAACCAUGCAGUUUUAGUGGUGGUUUAGCUUAGGUUUAUUUAGGUAAAUUCUGUUUUUUUGGUAAAAUGUUCAAAUUUUCUAGCUAAGUUUUUGUUGAUGGUUUUUUCACGAAAUAAGAUUAUUAGUUUAAAAUAAUUGAUUAAUGAUUACAGAUAUUUUACUUUUAUAAAAAAAAUAUUAUUUUAUUAAACUUAUUACUUUGAAAUAGGAAAAACUAAAAUAAGUAAACCAUACAAUGAAUGCAUAACCAAUUUAGCAGUAUAUCCAUAAAAUUCAAUGAAUAUCUCAGUAAUAAAGGACAAAUUGAGAAAAUAGACCACAAAAUAUAAUUUAUUUAAGAUAUUAUGAAAUCUUCUUAAGACCUUUAAUUACAUUUGUUAAUAUAUAGAUAACUUACUCUAUUUUAAAGAUUUAUAUUAAUUAAUUUAUUUACUUUUCUUAAAAGAAUAAUCUUUUAUGAUUUAUAUUUUAGAUACUAGAGUAAUAAGGUUGCUCUUACAUAAUUUUAUAUAUAUAAUCUCAACUGUACAUCCUUAGGAAUUACAACCAUCAAUUAGAAAACAAACACACCGUUAAUUAGAAGAGUAUUAGGAUAAUGUCAUCAUCACAUCUUGCUAUCAUGUGCCUCAUCAUGAUUUCUCUUGUUCCUCUAAAUCAAUUGGGAAAUGCCGAUGGUUUAGACUUCGACAGAAAAUGUGUCCGUCUCCUUGGAUGUACCGGAAGACGUUGUAUUUGCUGUAACAACGCACCAGAAAUAUUAAAAUGUUAUGAUACUCAAGCAGCAUGUAUGGCACAUUGCACGAACCCAACUAUUUGAGUGGCUUUAGAAACUUUAAAAAAAUUAAAAUAUAAUCAUGUGGAAUAUCUCAAUAAAUAUAAUAUAUAUUAUAAAAUAAAGAUGUUAAUAAACUUUUACUUUGGGUAUCAAAAUAUAUUUAUAUAUCUCGCAUCUAAUUUAUAAUAUACUUAUGAUUAAGAAUAAUACAUAUUUGUGUAGCAGAAAAAAUAGAAUGAUUUUGUCGUUGUGUUCAAUACUGUUGACAUGCUUCGACAUUCAGAUUUUCUCUUUUUAUCUUUAUAGUUUGUAUUCUUGACCUGCUCUCUUUUUUCUCUACUUGUAGUUUGUAUUUGAUAUGUUCUAUAUUUAUAGAUAAUUUAUCUUUCUUUCUUUUGCUAUAUCAAAGAGAAAAUAUCAUGCCAUAACAGAUCAAUGGGAUAAUCAUGGUUUUAAGCUUCUCAAUCAAAAAAAAAAUUAGCUUUUUAUUUCUCUCUAAAGAUUUUCUUACUACAUACUACCAUAUUUCUCGUUACUUUUCCUUAUACUUCCACACAUACACGUAGAAUAUCGAAUGACACAAACCUCUUGUCGUCGAUUGAUAAAGACGCGAUAAGAUGGGCCGACUUGUUCAUGGCCGACUUAAGCCCAGAAGAUACACAUAAUUACAAGACUACCCUAGGCCUUCUUUCACCUAGUAUUUAUGUACUUUGCCGUUGUAUUAGGAAACAUACCAUCUUUUAUCAUCUUUUAUUCACAACAUAUAGUUAUAGGGUUUUCACUAGAUUUGGAUAAAAGAUCCAAUACUCAUUCAGAGCUUGUAUUGGAACUCCAUUGAUUUCUUACUCUAUUCUAUUUAUGAAUUCUAUUCAGACUAUUGCUAUGUUUUGCUUUAUCAUGUCGGAGUAGUUUCCCUUGUUAGAUUUAGGGUAAAAUAGUGCUUUGAUGGAUUAGCCAAAAUUAUAGAAUUGUUAGGGUGAUUACAUAGAUACCAAUCAUUAGAAUUGGUAUUAAUGCUUAUGUUAUGGAGUAGCUAAUUAGAACCACAUGAAUUUAUUCUCUUGAUUUAGGUUGCUAGAUACAUGUGAAAGCUCGUCUAGGAACGUUUGUGAACUUAUCAAAUCGGACUAUAAAACCAAUCUAAAGUAUUGUCGAUCGACACUAGAAAGGUAGCAUUGAUUGACAGUCAUUACGUGUUUACAAGCAAGAGCUGCAACACUGGACUAAGAUAAUUUAUCAGACUCGCAGCGACAGCUGGAUAUAUUGACAGUAGAGUUCAAGUUCUAGUCCAAGUUUCGUCAUACUGCACUUACUAAACCUAAAAUUAAAAAAAAUAGUA
This is a long non-coding RNA of Brassica rapa (field mustard), 5356 nucleotides long. RefSeq lists it as uncharacterized. NCBI's taxonomy places the organism in Eukaryota, Viridiplantae, Streptophyta, Magnoliopsida, Brassicales, Brassicaceae. The record is from RefSeq and is a predicted model, not a curated record.